ACUCCUGCGGGAGGCAGCAGUGGGGAAUAUUAGACAAUGGGCGCAAGCCUGAUCCAGCCAUGCCGCGUGAGUGAUGAAGGCCCUAGGGUUGUAAAGCUCUUUCACCGGUGAAGAUAAUGACGGUAACCGGAGAAGAAGCCCCGGCUAACUUCGUGCCAGCAGCCGCGGUAAUACGAAGGGGGCUAGCGUUGUUCGGAUUUACUGGGCGUAAAGCGCACGUAGGCGGACUAUUAAGUCAGGGGUGAAAUCCCGGGGCUCAACCCCGGAACUGCCUUUGAUACUGGUAGUCUUGAGUUCGAGAGAGGUGAGUGGAAUUCCGAGUGUAGAGGUGAAAUUCGUAGAUAUUCGGAGGAACACCAGUGGCGAAGGCGGCUCACUGGCUCGAUACUGACGCUGAGGUGCGAAAGCGUGGGGAGCAAACAGGAUUAGAAACCCGUGUAGUCCCAUGAU
Molecule: ribosomal RNA, 450 nt
Filed under: uncultured organism
Description: partial 16S ribosomal RNA
Rfam family: Bacterial small subunit ribosomal RNA
Source: RNAcentral